UAAUAAAACAUUAAAACAUUACAUCAGUUCCAGCUGAAGAAGAACGUAACAUACGCUCCAACUUCUAGUUCCAGCUGAAGAACAUACGGUCCAGCUGAAGAACAUAUGCUCCAGUUGAAUCUGAAGAACGUACCUCCAGCUGAAGAACAUACGCUCCAAGCUUUGUUAGUAUUUUAGGAUUUCAUGGUGAAGAGCUGAAUAGCUACUCGCUGUAGAACACGAUUUCACAAUUUCUUGUUGAAAGGAUUUUGUUGGAAUAUGGUUUAUCAGUAUAAUCAACACAAAAACAUUUGUGGAGGAUUCAAGGUUUGAUUUGGAAUAGCACAAGAGCCAUGACUAGGAAUUCAAAUAUCCCAUCCAAGGAUUGGAUAAAUUUAGCAAGGUAAAGCAAAGAGUAUAUUGAUGGUGUUGAAUCAUUCCUAGAUUUUGCUUACUCUUAUGGAGAUCCAAUAGGAGAGGAAAUUCAGUGUCCAUGUGCAAAAUGUUGUAAUAUUCGCUGGACUUGAAGGAAUGUAGUGUGUGAUCAUCUAAUAUGCUAUGAAUUUGUUAAAGGUUAUUGUUUA
Solanum tuberosum (potato) is the source of this 563-nucleotide long non-coding RNA. RefSeq lists it as uncharacterized. The transcript is spliced from 4 exons. NCBI's taxonomy places the organism in Eukaryota, Viridiplantae, Streptophyta, Magnoliopsida, Solanales, Solanaceae. The record is from RefSeq and is a predicted model, not a curated record.